RNAcentral lists this microRNA precursor (126 nucleotides) under Myotis davidii. Its description in RNAcentral is "mir-9193 microRNA precursor family". It matches the Rfam family "mir-9193 microRNA precursor family". Lineage: Eukaryota; Metazoa; Chordata; Mammalia; Chiroptera; Vespertilionidae. The record is from Rfam by way of RNAcentral.
CAUGUACCAGUGGGGUCCCUCGGCCAGGCCUGUGCCCUCUCACAAUCUGGGACCCCUCAGGGGAUGUUGGAGAGCCAGUUUCAGCCCGGUCCCUCAGGCCAGGCCGAGGGACCCCACUGGUGCAUG